RNAcentral lists this ribosomal RNA (651 nucleotides) under Peziza echinophora. RNAcentral's name for it is "partial large subunit ribosomal RNA". It matches the Rfam family "Eukaryotic large subunit ribosomal RNA", at positions 54 to 715 of the family's 3401-position model. The record is from RNAcentral. Lineage: Eukaryota; Fungi; Ascomycota; Pezizomycetes; Pezizales; Pezizaceae.
AGGAAAAGAAACCAACAGGGAUUGCCUUAGUAACGGCGAGUGAAGCGGCAGAAGCUCAGAUUUGAAAUCUGGUGUCAUAUUGACAUCCGAGUUGUAAUCUGUAGAGGAGUUUUUUGGAUUAUUACUUUGGUUAAAGUUCCUUGGAAAAGGACAUCAUAGAGGGUGAGAAUCCUGUUUAUGACCUUAGUACUUCUCCUUCAUAAAUCUCCUUCAAUGAGUCGAGUUGUUUGGGAAUGCAGCUCUAAAUGGGUGGUAAAUUCCAUCUAAAGCUAAAUAUUGGCAAGAGACCGAUAGCGCACAAGUAGAGUGAUCGAAAGAUGAAAAGAACUCUGAACAGAGAGUUAAAGAGUACGUGAAAUUGUUGAAAGGGAAGCACUUGUGACCAGACAAAAUUGCAAUUAAUCAACCAUCACUAGUGGUGGUGCACUUGAUUGCAAGUGGGUUAGCAUCAGUUAUAAUAGUAGGAUAAAGAUCAAAGGAAUGUAGCCCCUCUUUGAGGAGUGUUAUAGCCUCUGGUUUAAUACUGCUGGCUAUAACUGAGGAUAGCACUUCAAGUAAGGAUGCUGACAUAAUGGUUAUAAGUGACCCGUCUUGAAACACGGACCAAGGAGUCUAACAUCUAUGCGAGUAUUUGGGUUGAAGCCCUUAUGC